GGGUUGUGGCUCAGUGGUAGACCGCUUGCCUUGCACAUGUGAGGUACUGGGUUCAAUCCUCAGCACUAUUCA
RNAcentral lists this transfer RNA (72 nucleotides) under Marmota monax (woodchuck). RNAcentral's name for it is "tRNA.Ala". Lineage: Eukaryota; Metazoa; Chordata; Mammalia; Rodentia; Sciuridae. The record is from RNAcentral.